Molecule: ribosomal RNA, 393 nt
Filed under: uncultured bacterium
Lineage: Bacteria
Description: bacterial SSU rRNA
Rfam family: Bacterial small subunit ribosomal RNA
Source: RNAcentral
AACGAACGCUGGCGGCGCGCCUAAUACAUGCAAGUCGAGCGAGAAGGUGUAGCAAUACACUUGUAAAGCGGCGAACGGGGUGAGGAAUGCAUGGGUAACCUACCCUCGAGUGGGGAAUAACUAGCCGAAAGGUUAGCUAAUACCGCAUACGUUUCCGGAACUUCGGUUUCGGAAAGAAAGCAAUACCGUGGGUAUUGCGCUCCUGGAUGGGCUCAUGUCCUAUCAGCUUGUUGGUGAGGUAACGGCUCACCAAGGCUUCGACGGGUAGCUGGUCUGAGAGGACGAUCAGCCACACUGGCACUGCGACACGGGCCAGACUCCUACGGAGGCAGCAGUAAGGAAUAUUAGCGCAAUGGACGAAAGUACUGACGCAGCGACGCCGCGUGGGGGAGU